Molecule: ribosomal RNA, 253 nt
Filed under: uncultured bacterium
Lineage: Bacteria
Description: partial 16S ribosomal RNA
Rfam family: Bacterial small subunit ribosomal RNA
Source: RNAcentral
UACGUAGGGGGCGAGCGUUGUCCGGAUUUAUUGGGCGUAAAGAGCGUGUAGGCGGCCAGGUAGGUCUGCUGUGAAAACUCGAGGCUCAACCUCGAGACGUCGGCGGAAACCAUCUGGCUAGAGUCCGGAAGAGGAGAGUGGAAUUCCUGGUGUAGCGGUGAAAUGCGCAGAUAUCAGGAAGAACACCCAUUGCGAAGGCAGCUCGCUGGGACGUUACUGACGCUGAGACGCGAAAGCGUGGGGAGCAAACAGG